AUUGAACGCUUUCUUUCUUCCUAACACAUGCAAGUCGAACGGCAGCACAGUAAGAGCUUGCUCUUACGGGUGGCGAGUGGCGGACGGGUGAGGAAUACAUCGGAAUCUACUUUUUCGUGGGGGAUAACGUAGGGAAACUUACACUAAUACCGCAUACGACCUACGGGUGAAAGCAGGGGAUCUUCGGACCUUGCGCGAUUGAAUGAGCCGAUGUCGGAUUAGCUAGUUGGCGGGGUAAAGGCCCACCAAGGCGACGAUCCGUAGCUGGUCUGAGAGGAUAAUCAGCCACACUGGAACUGAGACACGGUCCAGACUCCUACGGGAGGCAGCAGUGGGGAAUAUUGGACAAUGGGCGCAAGCCUGAUCCAGCCAUACCGCGUGGGUGAAGAAGGCCUUCGGGUUGUAAAGCCCUUUUGUUGGGAAAGAAAAGCAGCAGGUUAAUACCCCGCUGUUCUGACGGUACCCAAAGAAUAAGCACCGGCUAACUUCGUG
This 492-nucleotide ribosomal RNA is filed under the name uncultured bacterium. RNAcentral describes it as "partial 16S ribosomal RNA". It matches the Rfam family "Bacterial small subunit ribosomal RNA", at positions 30 to 507 of the family's 1533-position model. The record is from RNAcentral.